RNAcentral lists this ribosomal RNA (497 nucleotides) under uncultured bacterium. RNAcentral describes it as "partial 16S ribosomal RNA". It matches the Rfam family "Bacterial small subunit ribosomal RNA", at positions 28 to 507 of the family's 1533-position model. The record is from RNAcentral.
GAUGAACGCUGGCGGCGUGCCUAAUACAUGCAAGUCGAGCGAACAGACGAGGAGCUUGCUCCUCUGACGUUAGCGGCGGACGGGUGAGUAACACGUGGAUAACCUACCUAUAAGACUGGGAUAACUUCGGGAAACCGGAGCUAAUACCGGAUAAUAUAUUGAACCGCAUGGUUCAAUAGUGAAAGACGGUUUUGCUGUCACUUAUAGAUGGAUCCGCGCCGCAUUAGCUAGUUGGUAAGGUAACGGCUUACCAAGGCAACGAUGCGUAGCCGACCUGAGGGGGUGGUCGGCCACACGGGAACUGGGACACGGUCCAGACUCCUAAGGGAGGCAGCAGUAGGGAAUCUUCCGCAAUGGGCGAAAGCCUGACGGAGCAACGCCGCGUGAGUGAUGAAGGUCUUCGGAUCGUAAAACUCUGUUAUUAGGGAAGAACAAAUGUGUAAGUAACUAUGCACGUCUUGACGGUACCUAAUCAGAAAGCCACGGCUAACUACGUG